AUUGAACGCUGGCGGAAUGCUUUACACAUGCAAGUCGAACGGCAGCACGGGGGCAGCCCUGGUGGCGAGUGGCGAACGGGUGAGUAAUACAUCGGAACGUGCCCGGUCGUGGGGGAUAACGUAGCGAAAGUUACGCUAAUACCGCAUACGAUCUGAGGAUGAAAGCGGGGGACCUUCGGGCCUCGCGCGAUCGGAGCGGCCGAUGUCAGAUUAGGUAGUUGGUGGGGUAAAGGCCUACCAAGCCGACGAUCUGUAGCUGGUCUGAGAGGACGACCAGCCACACUGGGACUGAGACACGGCCCAGACUCCUACGGGGGGCAGCAGUGGGGAAUUUUGGACAAUGGGCGCAAGCCUGAUCCAGCCAUUCCGCGUGCAGGACGAAGGCCUUCGGGUUGUAAACUGCUUUUGUACGGAACGAAAAGGCUCUGGCUAAUACCUGGGGCUCAUGACGGUACCGGAAGAAUAAGCACCGGCUAACUACGUG
RNAcentral lists this ribosomal RNA (484 nucleotides) under uncultured bacterium. Its description in RNAcentral is "partial 16S ribosomal RNA". It matches the Rfam family "Bacterial small subunit ribosomal RNA", at positions 29 to 507 of the family's 1533-position model. The record is from RNAcentral.